UCUUCUUCUCUCAUUCUCAUUCCACUUUUCAAUUUCUCCACUUCCUUUCAGUCAUGGGUACCUCUGAUUUUGUUCAAAUUCUUUCAGUUUCUGUUCAGAUUUUGAUUUUCUGUGAGGCUAAUCUUGAAAUUUGGUAUGAUUUCUUAAGUAUCUCUCUAGAUUCCAUGCACAAGAGAUGCGCCACUAGAGGCAAGAAGAAGGCGUGGAGAAAGAAUCGAAAAUCUUUAUUUACGUUUGAGAAAUAUUCCCUCCUUUGUCUCUCUCUUCUACCGAAACAUUAUGAUAACCACUCAAGCAACUUUCGCUGGUGAUGAUACUAGUUUCAGGGACAUACAAAUUUGGGCAAUAUAAUGAGAGGAAUUGGAUGAUAUGGCAGCUCAUG
This is a long non-coding RNA of Rosa rugosa (rugosa rose), 382 nucleotides long. RefSeq lists it as uncharacterized. The transcript has 3 exons. The record is from RefSeq and is a predicted model, not a curated record. NCBI's taxonomy places the organism in Eukaryota, Viridiplantae, Streptophyta, Magnoliopsida, Rosales, Rosaceae.